RNAcentral lists this ribosomal RNA (468 nucleotides) under uncultured bacterium. RNAcentral's name for it is "partial 16S ribosomal RNA". It matches the Rfam family "Bacterial small subunit ribosomal RNA", at positions 28 to 507 of the family's 1533-position model. The record is from RNAcentral.
GACGAACGCUGGCGGCGUGCUUAACACAUGCAAGUCGAACGGAAAGGCCCUGCUUUUGUGGGGUGCUCGAGUGGCGAACGGGUGAGUAACACGUGAGUAACCUUCCCUUGACUUUGGGAUAACUUCAGGAAACUGGGGCUAAUACCGGAUAGGAGCUCCUGCUGCAUGGUGGGGGUUGGAAAGUUUCGGCGGUUGGGGAUGGACUGGCGGCUUAUCAGCUUGUUGGUGGGGUAGUGGCUUACCAAGGCUUUGACGGGUAGCCGGCCUGAGAGGGUGACCGGCCACAUUGGGACUGAGAUACGGCCCAGACUCCUACGGGAGGCAGCAGUGGGGAAUAUUGCACAAUGGGCGGAAGCCUGAUGCAGCAACGCCGCGUGCGGGAUGACGGCCUUCGGGCUGUAAACCGCUUUCGCCUGUGACGAAGUGUGAGUGACGGUAAUGGGUAAAGAAGCACCGGCUAACUACGUG